AAGCGAAACCUGUCCGGUUGAUCCGGGCAGGUCUAUCCAGCGUGGUGGCUGGGUACUGAUGAGCAGCCAUAA
Molecule: non-coding RNA, 72 nt
Filed under: Marinobacterium iners
Lineage: Bacteria; Pseudomonadati; Pseudomonadota; Gammaproteobacteria; Oceanospirillales; Oceanospirillaceae
Source: RNAcentral